UACAGAGGUCUCAAGCGUUGUUCGGAUUCAUUGGGCGUAAAGCGCACGUAGGCGGCUUUCUAAGUCAGGGGUGAAAUCCUGGAGCUCAACUCCAGAACUGCCUUUGAUACUGGAGAGCUAGAGUCCGGAAGAGGUGAGUGGAACUGCGAGUGUAGAGGUGAAAUUCGUAGAUAUUCGCAAGAACACCAGUGGCGAAGGCGGCUCACUGGUCCGGUACUGACGCUGAGGUGCGAAAGCGUGGGGAGCAAACAGG
This 253-nucleotide ribosomal RNA is filed under the name uncultured bacterium. RNAcentral's name for it is "partial 16S ribosomal RNA". It matches the Rfam family "Bacterial small subunit ribosomal RNA", at positions 524 to 776 of the family's 1533-position model. The record is from RNAcentral.